Molecule: long non-coding RNA, 394 nt
Organism: Sebastes umbrosus (honeycomb rockfish)
Lineage: Eukaryota; Metazoa; Chordata; Actinopteri; Perciformes; Sebastidae
Exons: 3
Source: RefSeq, a predicted model, not a curated record
GCUGCUGGCGGUCUGCAUCGCUGGACUCUUCAUCUGGAGGAGGAACAAUAACGGGUUUCGCCCUGCUAACACGGGGCAGUGAACAUAGAAGAGAAUGCUGAACUCCACAACUUAUCGUCUCAGAGGACUUUACAAUCUGUACAACAAAUGGCGUUCUCUACCCUUCAUUUGGAUAAAGAAAACCCCCCAAACUCAUUUAAUAAAUCUCUCUAAUGAGAGCUGCUCAUCUGAUUUGAUGCCAUACUGAAGGAGGGAAGAAGUGUUCGGAUGGACUUGCAUUUAUAUAGCACUUUUCUAGUCUUCCGACCACUCAAAGCUCUUUACACUACAUGUCAGCAUUCACCCAUUCACACACACAUUCAUACACUGAUGGCAGAAGCUGCUAAGGUGCCAA